GCUGCGGUAGUUUAGUGGUUAGAAUGGCCGGCUGUGGCCCGGCGGACCCGAGUCCGAUUCUCGGUCGCGGCC
This 72-nucleotide transfer RNA is filed under the name Candidatus Iainarchaeum sp. Its description in RNAcentral is "tRNA-His". It matches the Rfam family "tRNA". From Rfam's summary of the family: Transfer RNA (tRNA) molecules are approximately 80 nucleotides in length. Their secondary structure includes four short double-helical elements and three loops (D, anti-codon, and T loops). The record is from RNAcentral. Lineage: Archaea; Nanobdellati; Candidatus Iainarchaeota; Candidatus Iainarchaeia; Candidatus Iainarchaeales; Candidatus Iainarchaeaceae.